RNAcentral lists this transfer RNA (68 nucleotides) under Marmota marmota marmota (Alpine marmot). It matches the Rfam family "tRNA". Rfam says of the family: Transfer RNA (tRNA) molecules are approximately 80 nucleotides in length. RNAcentral also lists the same sequence under 1 other name. Lineage: Eukaryota; Metazoa; Chordata; Mammalia; Rodentia; Sciuridae. The record is from Rfam by way of RNAcentral.
GUUGUGGCUCAGAGGUAGAGUGCUCACCUAGCAAGUGUGAGGCACUGGGUUCGACCCUCAGCACAACA